AGAAUCAACGCUGGCGGCGUGCCUAACACAUGCAAGUCGCACGAGAAAGUGGAGCGAUCCAUGAGUAAAGUGGCGCACGGGUGAGUAACACGUGAAUGAUCUACCUCCGAGUGGGGAAUAACUGAGAGAAAUCUUAGCUAAUACCGCAUAAUACCCACGGGUCAAAGCAGUAAUGCGCUUGGAGAGGAGUUCGCGGCCGAUUAGUUAGUUGGCGGGGUAAUGGCCCACCAAGACGAUGAUCGGUA
RNAcentral lists this ribosomal RNA (245 nucleotides) under uncultured bacterium. RNAcentral describes it as "partial small subunit ribosomal RNA". It matches the Rfam family "Bacterial small subunit ribosomal RNA", at positions 26 to 285 of the family's 1533-position model. The record is from RNAcentral.